UUUUUAGUAUAAGCAUAUCAUAUGCAAUAUUUGUGACAUAUUUACACUAAAU
RNAcentral lists this microRNA precursor (52 nucleotides) under Marmota monax (woodchuck). Lineage: Eukaryota; Metazoa; Chordata; Mammalia; Rodentia; Sciuridae. The record is from RNAcentral.